GACGAACCGUGCGAACGUUAUUCGGAAUCACUGGGCUUAAAGCGUGCGCAGGCGGUUUUGUAAGCCAGAUGUGAAAUCCCCGGGCUCAACCUGGGAAUGGCAUUUGGGACUGCAAGGCUUGAGUGCGGCAGAGGAGACUGGAAUUCCUGGUGUAGCAGUGAAAUGCGUAGAUAUCAGGAGGAACACCGAUGGCGAAGGCAGGUCUCUGGGCUGACACUGACGCUCAUGCACGAAAGCGUGGGGAGCAAACAGG
Molecule: ribosomal RNA, 253 nt
Filed under: uncultured bacterium
Lineage: Bacteria
Description: partial 16S ribosomal RNA
Rfam family: Bacterial small subunit ribosomal RNA
Source: RNAcentral